GGAUCCAGCUCCAAUAGCGUAUAUUAAAGUUGUUGCAGUUAAAAAGCUCGUAGUUGAAUUUCGGGGUUCUACCGUUGGUCGGGCAAUAGUCUGUACUGGCGUGUAGAAUUUCUACCUUCUGGGGAACCAUCAUGUUAUUUAUUUAGCGUGGUGGGAAACCAGGACCUUUACCUUGAAAAAAUUAGAGUGUUCAAAGCAGGCUUACGUCUGAAUACAUUAGCAUGGAAUAAUAAAAUAGGACGGUGGUCCUGUUUUGUUGGUUUCUGAAUCACCGUAAUGAUUAAUAGGGAUAGUUGGGGGCAUUAGUAUUCAAUUGUCAGAGGUGAAAUUCUUGGAUUUAUUGAAGACUAACUUCUGCGAAAGCAUUUGCCAAGGAUGUUUUCAUUAAUCAAGAACGAAAGUUAGGGGAUCGAAGACGAUCAGAUACCGUCGUAGUCUUAACCAUAAACUAUGCCGACUAGGGAUCGGACGAUGUUAAUUGC
RNAcentral lists this ribosomal RNA (482 nucleotides) under Gigaspora margarita. RNAcentral describes it as "SSU rRNA". It matches the Rfam family "Eukaryotic small subunit ribosomal RNA", at positions 578 to 1070 of the family's 1831-position model. The record is from RNAcentral. Lineage: Eukaryota; Fungi; Glomeromycota; Glomeromycetes; Diversisporales; Gigasporaceae.